CAGUCACUGGAGAAGUCUCUGAUUCCAGCCAGGAACCAGGUCCCCUCUUCCCGGCAAAGAAGGCUCCAGUGAGAAUAGUUCUGCAGCGCGAAAACGUGUGUGCAAUUUGAUGAGGAGGGAGCCACAGCAGUGAAGACUCCGGGGCGGUUCCUCCGUCCACAGCCAAAGCCAAAGCUGGUGAUCCCCGCCUGGAACCAUCGGCCACCUUCCUCACAAACCAGGGGCCCCCCAGAGUCUCCCUGAUGACAGAUGACUCUGUAUCAGGGGAUCAGUCCAGGGACCCACCACCUUGUACUGGAUCACCUGGCAGAGGGUCUACACCUCUUUUUUUUGGAUGCACCCAGGCCAGGGAUCAAACCCCCAACACAGCAGCGACUCAAGACACAGCAGUUACAAUGCCAGAUCCUUGACACGCUCAGCCAAAAAAGAACUCCUUUACACCACCUCUUCUUGUUGGCCCUACUUACAGCCACUUUUUAGAAACCUGCAUUGGCUGUGCCAUGUCCUCCAUAAUUCCUACAACUCUAAGGUCUGGUAAAGCAGAAAAACUGAUGAGCAGCCAAAGCCAAGAGCACCAAGCUAAUGCAUUAAAGGCCAUGCCAGAGAGGCCUGCAGGUCUCAUUCAGACCCAGAUGAUUCUUGUCAAUAAAUAGUUCGAACAAA
Long non-coding RNA from Phacochoerus africanus (Common warthog), 663 nucleotides. RefSeq lists it as uncharacterized. The record is from RefSeq and is a predicted model, not a curated record. The transcript has 2 exons. NCBI's taxonomy places the organism in Eukaryota, Metazoa, Chordata, Mammalia, Artiodactyla, Suidae.